RNAcentral lists this long non-coding RNA (1028 nucleotides) under Elaeis guineensis (African oil palm). Its description in RNAcentral is "long non-coding RNA (EGUI_LNC026656)". The record is from RNAcentral. Lineage: Eukaryota; Viridiplantae; Streptophyta; Magnoliopsida; Arecales; Arecaceae.
GGAAGCAAAUCUUUAAUACCUUUGGAUAACUACAGUCCAACAUUUUUAGCUAGAUUGUGAUGACUAGUUGGUAUUGACUGGCGGCCUCAUUGGCAGAUUAUAGUGACACAUAAAAUUACAGUAUGAUGAUGUUUGUGGUGUUGUGCAAGUUCCAUACAAAAGCCAUACUUGUGUAAAUGGUUAGUGGAUUUCCAUUAUUGGUCUCUAAAGCCUUGGUAUUAAGAUAUCAUCUGGGCCUAUGAUGCCAUAAAACUUAAGAAUCAAGUCUUGGAAUACAUGGUAGCAUAUCAGAGAGUCACGUCAGAGAGGCACGAAACUAGUAAAAGAAAAGUAUAUCAGUAGGCAAUGAAUCCAAUCUGGACACAAAAUGUACAUCAAAUUCUGCAUGACAUUGAAAUAGAGGUGCAAUGUUAAACAGUUGCGGUACUGUCUAGACUUGUAAAGAGUAAAAGAAUGUCUUUCAUGUGUGGAAAACAUACAUCACAUGGUUGUGUUUUCAUGUCUAUACAAUAUUUGGCUGUUAUUCCAUCUGUAAUAGAGAAACCUAAUAAUUUUAAUUGCCAAGAAGAAUGUAGGAGUUACAUGGGGAUAUUUGUAAUUCUAGGUUAUGUAGUAGUUAGUGGUUAGUAAAACUACAGAGAUUAUGCUGUGUCACUGAGAUUAUGCUGUGUCACUGAGCAUUGAGUAAAACCUCAAUAAUACUCGCUGCUAAUUUGAUUGGUUGUGUUAUUUGGAUUUGAUUGUUGUAGUGGUAGUAAAUUAGAGGGAGUGCAUGCAAACAAUAUAAGUGGUAAAUACAAGGAUGCUGAGUUGGAUGUGGGGCAAAAUUAAGAGGGAUGAAGCUAGAAAUCAUUGCAUCAGAUAGCUUGCUAGCUGCCUACUAGAAGAGAGAUAUAAUGAGAUCAUUUUCCUUGUUUGGCAAAGGGAGAAAACUAUAGCAGAGUUCCCCUUUUAUUUUGUUCUUUUUUUUUUUUCGCCCCUUUUGGGAGGGUGUCCACUAAGUUUAUAAAAUCCUAAAUAUGCAAGGG